CCUACGGGGGGCAGCAGUGGGGAAUAUUGCACAAUGGGGGAAACCCUGAUCCAGCGACGCCGCGUGAGUGAAGAAGUAUUUCGUUAUGUAAAGCUCUAUCAGCAGGGAAGAAAGAAAUGACGGUACCUGAGUAAGAAGCCCCGGCUAACUACGUGCCAGCAGCCGCGGUAAUACGUAGGGGGCAACCGUUAUCCGGAAUUACUGGGUGUAAAGGGUGCGUAGACGGUAUUGCAAGUCUGGUGU
RNAcentral lists this ribosomal RNA (243 nucleotides) under uncultured bacterium. Its description in RNAcentral is "partial 16S ribosomal RNA". It matches the Rfam family "Bacterial small subunit ribosomal RNA", at positions 338 to 595 of the family's 1533-position model. The record is from RNAcentral.